This 5622-nucleotide ribosomal RNA is filed under the name Triticum aestivum (bread wheat). RNAcentral describes it as "partial small subunit ribosomal RNA". Lineage: Eukaryota; Viridiplantae; Streptophyta; Magnoliopsida; Poales; Poaceae. The record is from RNAcentral.
AUGAAGCACCUACAUCUUCUAGGCCUCCUCCUACUCUCUUGCCCUUGUCUCCUGCUAUGCACGGUCACGCCGGUGGUGGUCGGCAUCCGGCGUGAAGCUGAAGCACUUGUGAAGUGGAAGGCUAGCUUGGACAGUGCUGAUGACUCCUUUGGGUCAUGGUCGUUGGCCAACUCCGCCAGCCUUUGCAGGUGGACGUACAUCACUUGCGACUCGGCCAGGCACAUCAAAGAGCUCAGCAUUUUCAAAGCAAGUCUGAAUGGCACACUUGACGAGUUCGACUUCUCCGCCUUUCCCCAGCUGAAGAGUCUCUACCUGUUAGACACUGGUCUGUACGGAACAAUUCCAGCAGGGAUUGGCAACCUGACGAGUUUGGUCAUGUUGGAGAUUCACAGAAGCCCAUAUUUGAGGGGCGCCAUUCCACGCAGCAUUGGCCAGCUGAAGCACCUUGCUCUACUGCAUCUAACCUUUUUGGGCCUCAAUGGCACGCUGCCUGAAGAGAUUGGUAACUUGACGAAGUUGGAGAAGCUCGAGCUGCACUCCGUUACUUUGACUGGAUCAAUCCCACCAACAAUUGGGAUGCUUGGGAAGCUCCAGGAGCUGAGACUGGUAGGUAACAAUCUUACAGGGAGCAUACCAAUGGAGAUUGGAAACAUGACACAACUGCAAAUCAUGGAGCUGGAAUCUAACUAUUUGGAAGGGCAGCUGCCAGGUACCAUCUUUCAUAUGGUAAAACUCCUGUAUAUGAUUCUGUCAGAAAAUCAGCUGGUAGGUACCAUCUCCCCGGAGCUUGGGAAUAGCAGCCUCUGGUAUGUCGAUAUUGCACACAACAACUUCUCUGGGGUGUUCCCACCAUCCAUUUGCGUAGCAGGAGCGCUGAGUGCGGUCAGUGCUGGACACAAUGGGUUUACGGGAGCUUUUCCUCUAGGUCUUAAGACAUGCAAAAAGCUUGCUGUUCUAGAUCUUGGAGGCAAUAAUUUUUCUGGUACAAUACCUUCUUGGCUACAAGUAUUGGACUUGUCCAAAAACAUGCUCACCGGACCCAUUCCAGAUGAUUUUAGGAAUUUUACUGGCAUGGCACAAGAACAGAACAACAAUGACUUCACAUACAGUGACGCAUAUUCUUAUCAAGUGAAAAUUCAAAUAGUUUGGAAGAAUGCAGAUCGUCUUUACAUUGUGGUGAUAGCAGGCAUGGCCGGCAUCGACUUGUCUGGAAACUCUUUGUCACAGGAGAUCCCAAAUGGGUUCACAACCCUUCUUGGACUUAGAUACCUGAACUUAUCAGGAAAUCAUCUGUCAGGUUGUAUCCCUGAAGACAUUGGCAAUCUAGUACUGCUGGAAUCCUUGGACCUUUCUCGGAACCAACUCAGGGGGGAAAUUCCUCGAGGCUUUGCAGAUUUGAAGAGCAUAAGCAAUCUGAACCUCUCAACCAACAUGUUAUCAGGGAGGAUACCUAUGGGUGAUCAACUGCGGACACUUGAUGACCCGUCAAUAUACAGCAAUAAUCUUGGGUUAUGCGGGUCACCGUUAGAAGACUGCGUAAGCUCGUCAACACCGACGCAAGCUGAAACGAGUCUGGAUGAAGAUAGAGAGACACUGUGGUUUUACUGCUUUGUGGCUGCUGGGUUUAUCUCUGGGUUCUGGCUAUACUUGGGCUUCUUGUUUCGCAGCGAGACAUGGAGUGUGAGAGGGAGACUCGUCAAUGUAAGCGCGUCGGGAAGCUUGCCGACGACGGUGACCCGGCAGAGCGGGCAGGUGGAGCGGGACGCCAGCCACACGCUGAUGCACCCGGCGUGGAACCCGUGGCCGCAGCAGGGCAGGAAUCUCGCCUACUCCCCGUCCUGGAGCCCGGCCAGGCACACCGCGCACUCUAGCACCCCGACGUGGUCCAUCGUGCGGUACACCGUGACCGGCAGCGAGCCCAGCAGCUCCGGGUCGACGCCCCUCGGCGACGCCGUUGCUGAAGAAGUAGUAGCGGAGGAAGCUGAGCGGGAGGGCGACGACCACCUGCAUCCAGCCCCCCGGCGCCGCGCAGAGGUCGAGCAUGGCGCGCGCCGGCGGGAGGAACCGGAAGCGGUCGUCGAGCUGCUGCUGCUUGAAGGCCGCGCGGCUCCGGUAGCCCUGCUCCUUGGCGAGGCGUCUGCCAUUGAAGCCACGAUGAGGCCUCUCCAUCCUGUAGGCCUCCUGCUCUCUUGCUCCUGUCUCCUACUAUGCGCAGUCGCGCCGGUGAGAGCGGACACCCGGCGUGAAGUUGAAGCACUUGUGAGGUGGAAGGCUAGCUUGUCCGGUGCCGAUGAGUCCCUUGGGCCAUGGUCCAUGGCCAACUCCACCAGCCUUUGCAGCUGGACGCAAAUCACCUGCGAUCCGGACGGGUCGCACAUAAGAGAUCUCGACCUUGCCUACAUAAGUCUCAACGGCACACUUGACAAGUUAGACUUCUCAGCCUUUCCCCACUUGAGGAGUCUCAUCCUGAUCCAGAAUGGUCUAAUCGGUACAAUUCCAGCAGCGAUUGGCAACCUGGCGAGCUUGGUCAUCCUGAGGAUCAUGCACAACCCGUACUUAAGGGGGGGCAUUCCACGCAGCAUUGGACAGCUGAAGCAACUUUCUGUACUGCAACUGGAAGCUUUGGGGCUCCAUAGUACACUACCUGAAGAGAUUGGUAACUUGACAAGCUUGACAUUGCUCGAUAUCAAUUUGGUUAGUUUGGCAGGAUCGAUCCCACCAACAAUUGGGAUGCUCAUACAGCUCCGUGAGCUGAGCCUGAUAGGCAAUAAUUUGACAGGGAGCAUCCCAAUGGAGAUAGGAAACAUGACAGGACUGCAGACCGUAGACCUUCAUGAGAACUAUUUGGGAGGGCAGCUGCCAGGUACCAUCUCUCAUCUGGUCAAACUCCAGUAUUUGCAUCUGUCAGAAAAUCAGCUGGUAGGUCACAUCUUCCCCGGGCUUGGAAAUAGCAGCCUCCUUGAGGUAGUCCGCAUGGCAAACAACGACUUCUCUGGGGCGUUCCCAUCAUCCAUUUGCGUAAAAGGAGCACUGUGGACUGUCAGCGCUGAAUACAAUGGAUUUACGGGUAUCCACCAUCAGACAUUUCAAAACUGCACAACCCUGCAAGAAGUUGACUUCACGGCGAACAACAUUGUCGCAGAGCUGAGUGACUGUUUUAGUGAGCAUCCAGCACAGCUUAGCACCAUGGCUUUGAGUCAAAACCAGCUGCAUGGCACGCUUCUCACGGAUCGGGAUCUUGGAGGCAAUGAUUUCUCUGGCACAAUACCUUCUUGGAUAUUGGACUUAUCAAAAAACAAGCUCAUUGGACCUGUUCCAGACGAUUUUAGGAAUUUUACUGGCAUGGCAGAAGAACAGAGAAGGUACCCUGACAGCAAAUUUUAUCAAGUGCAAAUUCAUAUAGUUUGGAAGAAUGUGGAUUAUGUUUACAAUCUGAGGAUAGAAGCCAUGGUAGGUAUCGACUUAUCAGGUUGUAUUCCGGAAGACAUUGGCAAUCUGGUAUGGCUAGAAUCCUUGGACCUCUCACGGAACCAGCUCUCAGGAGAAAUUCCUUCAAGCUUUGCAUCUUUGAAGAGCAUGAGCGUUCUGAACCUCUCAAGCAAUGGUUUGUCAGGGAGGAUACCUACAGGCAAUCAGCUGCAGACACUUGUAGACCCAUCGAUAUACAGCAAUAAUCCUGGGCUAUGUGGAUUCCCGUUGAAGGACUGUGUAAACUCGACACCGACGCAAAACGAAGUGAGCCAGGCUGAAGAUAGAGAGGCGUUGUGGUUGUAUUGCUUUGUGGCUGCUGGAUUCAUCUUCGGGUUCUGGCUGUACUGGGGCAUCUUCUUGGUCCGCAGCGAGUCCUGGAGGUGCGCAUUCUAUCAGCAUGUGGACAACAUGCAAGCCAAGGUAACCAAGAAGAUACAACCAAGCCAUCAUGUAGUGGACGGCCGGCCGGCCGGCUCGUCCAGAGGCUUUAUAUCCUCUGCGGCAGUGAAGCACCAUUCCUACCAAGCCAUCAUGAAGCACCUACAUCUUGUAGGCCUCCUCCUUCUCUCUUGCCCUUGUCUCCUGCUAUGUGCCGUCACGCCGGUGGUAGCCGGCAUCCGGCGUGAAGCUGAAGCACUUGUGAAGUGGAAGGCUAGCCUGGCCGGUGCCCAUAAGUCACUUGGGCAAUGGUCGUUGGCCAACUCCACUAGCCUUUGCAGGUGGACUUACAUCACUUGCGACUCGGCCGGGCACAUCACAGUGCUCCAGCUUGUCCACGCAAACCUGAGUGGCACACUUGACGAGUUGGACUUCUCUGCCUUUCCUCACAUGGAGAAACUCAUCAUGUUUGGCAAUGGUCUACAUGGCACAAUUCCAGCCGGGAUUGGCAACCUGACAAGCUUGGUUGUGUUGGACCUCGGUGAAAACCCGUAUUUGAGGGAGAUUGGUAACUUGACGAGCUUGGAGGCGCUCGGUAUCAAUUCGGUUACUUUGACAGGAUCGAUCCCACCAACAAUUGGGAUGCUCACGAAGCUCCGCUCGCUGGGCCUUUGGAACAAUAAUCUGACAGGGAGCAUCCCGCUGGAGAUUGGAAACAUGACAGAACUGAACACCAUAUCCCUUCAUAGUAACUAUUUGGAAGGGCAGCUGCCAGGUGCCAUCUCUCAUCUGAGAAAACUCAAGUACUUGGAUCUGUCAGAAAAUCAACUUGGAGGCCACAUCUUCCCCGAGCUUGGGAAUAGCAGUCUCCUGGGUGGUGUCAACAUUGCAGAGAACAACUUCUCUGGGGUGUGCCCGGCAUCCAUUUGCGUAGGAGGAGCACUGGGAUUUCUCUUUGCUGAGUACAAUGGAUUUACCGGCAUUCACCAUCAGACCUUUCAAAACUGCACAACCUUGCUGGAUGUUGACUUCACAGCAAACAACAUUGUUGCAGAGCUAAGGGACUGUAUUAGUGAGCAUCCAGGACGGCUGGUCUCCAUGGCUUUCAGUCAAAACCAGCUGUAUGGAACGUUUCUGACAGGACGCGGUCUUAAGAAAUGCAAAACCCUUUUUGCUCUAGAUCUUGGAGGCAAUAAUUUCUCUGGUAGAAUACCUUCUUGGGAGAUCCCAAAAGGGAUCACAGCCCUUAUUGGCCUCAGGUACCUGAACUUAUCAGGAAAUCAUUUGUCAGAUUGUAUUCCUGAAGACAUUGGCAAUAUGGUACUGCUAGAAUCCUUGGACCUUUCUCGGAACCAACUCUGGGGGGAAAUUCCUCAAAGCCUGGCAGCUUUGAAGAGCAUCAGCGUGCUGAACUUCUCGAGCAAUAGUUUGUCAGGGAGGAUACCUACAGGCGAUCAGCUACGGACACUCAUAGAUCCUUCCAUAUACAGUAAUAAUCCUGGGCUAUGCGGAUUUCCAUUGGAAGAAUGCAUAAACUCCUCAACACCGGCGCAAACUGAAAAAAGCCUGGAUGAAGAUAGAGAGGCAUUGUGGUUGUAUUGCUUCGUGGCUGCUGGGUUCAUCUUCGGGUUCUGGCUCUACUGGGGCAUCUUCAUGUUUCGCAGCGAGACCUGGAGGUGUGCAUUUUACCAGCAUGUGGACAACAUGCAAGGGAAGGUGACCAAGAAGAUGUAUAACUUCAUGUCGCGCUUCCAGGCCGACGGCUCCGAAUGA